This 508-nucleotide ribosomal RNA is filed under the name uncultured bacterium. RNAcentral describes it as "partial 16S ribosomal RNA". It matches the Rfam family "Bacterial small subunit ribosomal RNA", at positions 28 to 523 of the family's 1533-position model. The record is from RNAcentral.
GAUGAACGCUAGCUACAGGCUUAACACAUGCAAGUCGGGGGGAAACGAUAGAGAAAGCUUGCUUUUUCUAGGCGUCGACCGGCGCACGGGUGAGUAACGCGUAUCCAACCUGCCCAUCACUUGGGGAUAACCUUGCGAAAGUAAGACUAAUACCCAAUGACGUCUCUAGAAGACAUCUGAAGGAGAUUAAAGAUUUAUCGGUUAUGGAUGGGGAGGCGUCGGAUUAGCUUGUUGGCGGGGUAACGGCCCACCAAGGCGACGAUCAGUAGGGGUUCUGGGAGGAAGGUCCCCCACAUUGGAACUGAGACACGGUCCAAACUCCUACGGGAGGCAGCAGUGAGGAAUAUUGGUCAAUGGACGAGAGUCUGAACCAGCCAAGUAGCGUGCAGGAUGACGGCCCUAUGGGUUGUAAACUGCUUUUAUAAGGGAAUAAAGUGAGCCACGUGUGGCUUUUUGCAUGUACCUUAUGAAUAAGGACCGGCUAAUUCCGUGCCAGCCGCCGCAGUAA